Molecule: ribosomal RNA, 289 nt
Filed under: Durinskia baltica
Lineage: Eukaryota; Dinophyceae; Peridiniales; Kryptoperidiniaceae
Description: partial Bacterial small subunit ribosomal RNA
Rfam family: Bacterial small subunit ribosomal RNA
Source: RNAcentral
AAGCAUCGGCUAACUCCGUGCCAGCAGCCGCGGUAAUACGGAGGGAGCUAGCGUUGUUCGGAAUAACUGGGCGUAAAGCGCACGUAGGCGGACUUUUAAGUCAGGGGUGAAAUCCCAGAGCUCAACUCUGGAACUGCCUUUGAUACUGGAAGUCUUGAGUCCGAGAGAGGUGAGUGGAACUCCGAGUGUAGAGGUGAAAUUCGUAGAUAUUCGGAAGAACACCAGUGGCGAAGGCGGCUCACUGGCUCGGUACUGACGCUGAGGUGCGAAAGCGUGGGGAGCAAACAGG